Molecule: ribosomal RNA, 374 nt
Filed under: uncultured organism
Description: partial 16S ribosomal RNA
Rfam family: Bacterial small subunit ribosomal RNA
Source: RNAcentral
GUAGGUGGCAAGCGUUGUUCGGGAAUUAUUGGGGCGUAAAGCGCGCGCAGGCGGUUCUUUAAGUCUGAUGUGAAAGCCCACGGGCUCAACCGUGGAGGGUCAUUGGAAACUGGAGAACUUGAGUACAGAAGAGGAAAGCGGAAUUCCACGUGUAGCGGUGAAAUGCGUAGAGAUGUGGAGGAACACCAGUGGCGAAGGCGGCUUUCUGGUCUGCAACUGACGCUGAGGCGCGAAAGCGUGGGGAGCAAACAGGAUUAGAUACCCUGGUAGUCCACGCCGUAAACGAUGAGUGCUAAGUGUUAGGGGGUUUCCGCCCCUUAGUGCUGCAGCUAACGCAUUAAGCACUCCGCCUGGGGAGUACGGCCGCAAGGCUG